CCUACGGUGGGCAGCAGUGGGGGAUAUUGCACAAUGGAGGAAACUCUGAUGCAGCGACGCCGUGUGAGGGAAGACGGUCUUCGGAUUGUAAACCUCUGUCUUUGGGGAAGAAAAUGACGGUACCCAACGAGUAAGCUCCGGCUAACUACGUGCCAGCAGCCGCGGUAAUACGUAGGGAGCGAGCGUUGUCCGGAUUUACUGGGUGAAAAGGGAGCGUAGGCGGGCGAGAAAGUUGAAUGUUAAAUCUACGGUCUUAACUAGUAGCUGCGUUUAAAACUUCUUGUCUUGAGUGAGGGAGAGGCAGGCGGAAUUCCUAGUGUAGCGGUGAAAUGCGUAGAGAUCAAGAGGAACACCAGUGGCGAAGGCGGCCUGCUGGGAUAUAACUGACGCUGAGGCUCGAAAGCGUGGGGAGCAAACAGGAUUAGAUACCCUAGUAGUC
This 439-nucleotide ribosomal RNA is filed under the name uncultured bacterium. Its description in RNAcentral is "partial 16S ribosomal RNA". It matches the Rfam family "Bacterial small subunit ribosomal RNA", at positions 338 to 795 of the family's 1533-position model. The record is from RNAcentral.